Molecule: ribosomal RNA, 645 nt
Filed under: uncultured bacterium
Lineage: Bacteria
Description: bacterial SSU rRNA
Rfam family: Bacterial small subunit ribosomal RNA
Source: RNAcentral
CGCGGCCUAUCAGCUUGUUGGUGAGGUAACGGCUCACCAAGGCAACGACGGGUAGCUGGUCUGAGAGGACGAUCAGCCACACUGGGACUGAGACACGGCCCAGACUCCUACGGGAGGCAGCAGCAGGGAAUAUUGCACAAUGGGUGAAAGCCUGAUGCAGCGACGCCGCGUGGGGGAUGAAGGCCUUCGGGUUGUAAACCCCUUUCAGGAGGGACGAAGCGAAAGUGACGGUACCUCCAGAAGAAGCCCCGGCCAACUACGUGCCAGCAGCCGCGGUAAUACGUAGGGGGCGAGCGUUGCCCGGAUUUAUUGGGCGUAAAGAGCUCGUAGGCGGCUCAACAAGUCGGCCGUGAAAGCCCGAGGCUUAACCUCGGGACGCCGGUCGAAACUGUUGUGGCUAGGGUCCGGUAGAGGAGAGUGGAAUUCCCGGUGUAGCGGUGAAAUGCGCAGAUAUCGGGAGGAACACCAGUAGCGAAGGCGGCUCUCUGGGCCGGCACCGACGCUGAGGAGCGAAAGCUAGGGGAGCAAACAGGAUUAGAUACCCUGGUAGUCCUAGCCGUAAACGAUGGGUACUAGGUGUGGCGGAUUCAUUGACAUCUGCCGUGCCGAAGCUAACGCAUUAAGUACCCCGCCUGGGGAGUACGG